Long non-coding RNA from Papaver somniferum (opium poppy), 2276 nucleotides. RefSeq lists it as uncharacterized. The transcript has 7 exons. NCBI's taxonomy places the organism in Eukaryota, Viridiplantae, Streptophyta, Magnoliopsida, Ranunculales, Papaveraceae. The record is from RefSeq and is a predicted model, not a curated record.
ACUGUAUGGUAUGUAUUUUCCUUCACCUCUUUUUUCAGAUCCAUUUUUUCUUCUCUCCUGUCUCCUCUUCUCUUCUCUUAUCUCGCUGAAGAAAAAAUUUCUACAUUAAUGUUUUCAUACAAACUCCCCCAUAGGUUCUCACCUUACAGCAAAGAGAGCAAGGCCUGUAACCCUAGCCUAAAAUCCCUCCUCCUCCUCCUCCACUGAUACUGUCUCAAUUCUAAAACCUAACCCCAGAUAAAGAGGAUCUCACUUGUGUCUUCUUUGACUUCAAUCUAAUAAGUAUGGAUAAUCGCGAUCUGAAGAGGAUACACCUCCAGCUGAAAUUAAGGCAUCUGCUUCUGGUUUGGUUGAGUUGUGCCUGCUGCCUAAGUCUAUUUAUCUUUUGAAGUCCUAACUGAGUCGUUUUGGUUGUUAACACAUCUCUUUAUCGAAACAAACUCAGUCAAAUGCUUUUGAUUCGCUCAAACAAAUCCAGAAAGGAGGAACCUAAAGACCCUCAUGAUGCAGGUAAAAAUUGUGAAAUUACUUAGGCUUGUAUCUGCACAAUCAUCACUUGUAUUUCCCCUGGUGAGUGUCUUGGUGCUGCUUUGGUUAGGUAAGCUUCCCCUGGUGAUUUAUGUUCCAUGUAACUUCAAUUCCAGUGUUUGCAAAUAACUUUUUCUUGCUACGAUCCUUUGAAUUACCUUGCUUGUGCUCUUGUCGUAUCAUGCAACAAUUGCAUCUUGUAUGCAGGAUCUGUCACAUCUUUCGCUUUCCCCCCUAAGUAUAUAUUUUACAACUUAUUCAUCAGACACACUGAACCCUGUCUCCAAAAGCGGAACAAUGCAUCAGUUGGUCUUCUAAGUUAAAACCCAGACAUAAACAUACUGUACGAAUUUAGAGAUUAAACGAAGCAGUUAGCAAAUAGUAUCUUCAUGUUGCUAUAUCUAAGUGAAUCCAGUUGAUUUUCAAGUAAGAAAAGACUAAGCUAGACACUGCUCAAUUUUAAUAAAUUACGUAUGUGUAGUAGUGGAGAUAAAGUAACAAAAUAAUUUCUAGUGACAAUAAAGUUAAAAUGAUUUCCAGUUGCAACGCUGCUGUCAACUAACUAUUGUGUUUAUUAUUAGAGUUAUCCGUUUGUAUGGUAACUUUUGGGCAGUUCCAAGGUGCAGUGAAAUUCUUCCUUACACCUAUUGGUGAUUGUUGUUUUUCGACACUUGACGAUUUUUCUGUUAAUGAUUGUGUUUGAAGGAGGAGUCCGAGUCUCUUCAAUUCAUGCACGUAAUAUAUAACUGGCAAAUGUUGUAGUGCGACAUUCCUAAAGUGAUCUAUACGACGGCGUUUGCUUCUUUGACUGCUAUAGUAGUAAUAAAGGCUGUGUAGUUUACGAAGUUUGAGCAACCAUAUUCGCAUUAGGAACUUUGAGGAGCGGGCAAACGGAAUAAAUAUUUCAUAGACUAUGUUAUAUUAACUUAUUAUGCUUUUUUAGAUACAAAUAGGACCCAGGAUUCCCUUAUCUGCAGCUUCAUCUAGUGGCGGAGCAUCAUAUUCAAAUGCAGAGUCAGAGGAAGGCGAAUUAGGUGGCCCCCGUUCCCCUCCUCCACCACCACCACCCUUGACAGACUCUAGUGAAUUAGGCCCCGGGGAUGUCUCUACAUUGCCUCUUACCUCCUCCACCUCCAAUGCCACCUCAGCCUGCUGCUGCUAACUUAGGUAGUGCAUUGCCCCCACCAUCACGCCUGAGUCUGAGCUUUAACAUCUCUCUCUCUCCCUCUCUUUCUCUCUGCAGGUGUUGGUUAUGCUUCCUCCACCACCCCGACCUCCCGGAUUGCCACCUAAAUCUGAUGCCAAUAGUUUUACAGGGACCAAGGAUGUCAUUAACAUGCUUCCACCACUUCCAAAUCAGCCAGUGCCAAGGCCUGCCUUAAUCCAUACCAUACAGCUGGAUGUACUACCCCCAGGCAUUGCUCGCUCAGAUCUUCAGCACCCCAGAAGCCAUCUUAUGUUAAGUCGGCAGCAUCUACAGUUGUGAAGAGGCCGCUGGCACAGCAUACUCCUGAACUUACAGCUGUGGUGUGUUCGCAUUUUGUCCCAAGCUGUACACAUGCAUUUUGUGUGUUUUUAAAUUAAGUUACUACCUUUUGUACUAUCUGGGUUGUUCUGUUGCCCAGAUUCUAUUUCUGAAUCAAUUAAACAUCUUAUUGACAUAUAUGUAAAUUUCUAUGGUGCAUCAAUGUAAAACAUUGUUACGAAUGUGUGAUGGUGCAAAUUUAUACAAUCUUAAGUUUACCGGA